GAACCUGCGGAAGGAUCAUUACCGAGAGAGGGACUUCGCGCUCCCGGGGGUUUCGGCCUCCAACUCUUCACCCAUUGUUUACCUACCUUUGUUGCUUUGGCGGGCCCCGAGGUUCGCCUCCCGCUGGCUUUCGGGCCGGCGAGUGCCCGUCAGAGGCCCAUUAAAUUCUGUCUAAUCAGUAAUAUCAGAGUCCAAAACAAAUAGAAAAAAACUUUCAACAACGGAUCUCUUGGUUCCAGCAUCGAUGAAGAACGCAGCGAAAUGCGAUAAGUAAUGUGAAUUGCAGAAUUCAGUGAAUCAUCGAAUCUUUGAACGCACAUUGCGCCCCUCGGUAUUCCGGGGGGCAUGCCUGUUCGAGCGUCAUUACACCCCUCAAGCGUAGCUUGGUAUUGGGUCUUCGCCCCCGCGGCGUACCCGAAAAGCAGUGGCGGUCCGGUGUGACUUAAGCGUAGUAAAUUUUCAUCCCGCUUGGAAAGUUCGCACCGAGGCUUGCCAGACAACCUCAUUGAUUUCAAUAAUUGACCUCGGAUCAGGUAGGGAUACCCGCUGAACUUAAGCAUAUCAAUAAGCGGAGGAAA
RNAcentral lists this ribosomal RNA (578 nucleotides) under Bryocaulon pseudosatoanum. RNAcentral describes it as "eukaryotic LSU rRNA". The stretch from base 210 to 363 matches the Rfam family "5.8S ribosomal RNA". The record is from RNAcentral. Lineage: Eukaryota; Fungi; Ascomycota; Lecanoromycetes; Lecanorales; Parmeliaceae.